CCUACGGGGGGCAGCAGUGGGGAAUAUUGCACAAUGGGCGCAAGCCUGAUGCAGCCAUGCCGCGUGUGUGAAGAAGGCCUUCGGGUUGUAAAGCACUUUCAGUCGUGAGGAAGGUGGUGUAGUUAAUAGCUGCAUUACUUGACGUUAGCGACAGAAGAAGCACCGGCUAACUCCGUGCCAGCAGCCGCGGUAAUACGGAGGGUGCGAGCGUUAAUCGGAAUUACUGGGCGUAAAGCGCAUGCAGGUGGUUUGUUAAGUCAGAUGUGAAAGCCCGGGGAUCAACCUCGGAAUAGCAUUUGAAACUGGCAGACUAGAGUACUGUAGAGGGGGGUAGAAUUUCAGGUGUAGCGGUGAAAUGCGUAGAGAUCUGAAGGAAUACCAGUGGCGAAGGCGGCCCCCUGGACAAAGACUGACGCUCAGAUGCGAAAGCGUGGGGAGCAAACAGGAUUAGAUACCCGGGUAGUC
RNAcentral lists this ribosomal RNA (465 nucleotides) under uncultured bacterium. RNAcentral describes it as "bacterial SSU rRNA". It matches the Rfam family "Bacterial small subunit ribosomal RNA", at positions 338 to 795 of the family's 1533-position model. The record is from RNAcentral.